RNAcentral lists this ribosomal RNA (292 nucleotides) under uncultured bacterium. Its description in RNAcentral is "partial 16S ribosomal RNA". It matches the Rfam family "Bacterial small subunit ribosomal RNA", at positions 505 to 796 of the family's 1533-position model. The record is from RNAcentral.
GUGCCAGCAGCCGCGGUAAUACGAAGGGGGCUAGCGUUGCUCGGAAUCACUGGGCGUAAAGGGCGCGUAGGCGGACUUUUAAGUCGGGGGUGAAAGCCCAGGGCUCAACCCUGGAAUUGCCUUCGAUACUGAGAGUCUUGAGUUCGGAAGAGGUUGGUGGAACUGCGAGUGUAGAGGUGAAAUUCGUAGAUAUUCGCAAGAACACCAGUGGCGAAGGCGGCCAACUGGUCCGAUACUGACGCUGAGGCGCGAAAGCGUGGGGAGCAAACAGGAUUAGAUACCCCGGUAGUCC